GUCGCGCAAUGUAGCUUUGCUUGUCUAACAGGAGUUGAGAUUUCUCCUCUCACGUUCUAUAUUCCUGUUACUUUUCUGCAGUUUCAGCCGGAUCCGAUAGAUGGCAGUACUUCGACUACCACAGACGAGGAGCGCGAUAUUGCGCGACGAGAUCAGACGUAUGCGUUCGUGUUAGAGGAGGAAGGCGAUAGUGUGCGACAGAGACAGCAGCAGCGAUUAGUCGCCACCUUUUCACCGCUAGGCGACGAUAGCAUUUCGAGGUCGACGAAUCGACUAAUCUUUUAUUUAUAACGAACGAAUCGAGGGGAUUAAUUUGCGAGCUGUUGCAUCUUCUUAAUCAGGGUCUCAGCUUGCUUUAUUCCGUUUAAUCUUUUAAAUGAACGAGCAAAAAUACGUUCGUUGGUUACUCGACGUUUUCGUUCGGACGAGCGAUGCGUGUGUGCUGCGUGCGCUAUUAAAAUACGUAAGCAUCGCGGAACAGGCGAUCCUAGUUGUUCGAGCGGAAAGAAGACGCAGCAACUUCGAUACAACAGUCCGUUAUAUUAAAAAAAACCGAGAAGACGAAUAAUCAUCGUGGCGAUUAAGAAUGCGCGUGUAUUGAACUGACCACCCGCGCGCGACUGGAUCGAAGAGGAAUCGACCACGAGCGGAAAGAAAGACGAAAAGGAAGGGACGUUGAAGAAGAAGAAGAAGAAGACGAAGAAGAAGAAGAACCGUAGGAGGAAGUUUUUGCUCGGUACACAUGUGGCUAGCGGCGAUUCGGCUGUGAUAAAAGCUCGGCCCGUUGCUCGUGCCUCGCGGCCUCGCGAGACCAACGACGCCGGCCAACGUACAUACUGGAACAGCGGCCGGACGAGAAAAGGCCUUCUUCGGCAAGUUGAGCGAAUCGCGUGUGCGAUGGUGCGCACAUCCGCGCCACGAAAGAACGAGAUAGAGCCGAGGAUCGAGAUGUGUCGCGCGUUACGCACGUGCGCUACCCUUCGAUCCUUCUUCCUCUCGUUGCCUCCACUCAACGCCCUUUACGAUCCCUGUUCGCUGGUCAUCGAAUUAGGACCGUUGAAAUAUGUACAAUUUUCUGUGUUGGACUGGGUUAAAUGCGUAGUAGAGAUACUUGUAUGUGGAUAUCAGUGUGUGGAAGUAUGUGUGUCCACGGCGUCUCGAAAACAAAGGAAUGUAAACUGUUCAGUCGGUUAACAGUCGGAUGAGAAAGAAAGUGCCGAGACGCGUGCAAAUGUGUAUCGAUGAAUAUAUAAGGAAUCGUCCAUGAAAUAAAUAUAUCGUUAUUUCAAUAAUAA
Molecule: long non-coding RNA, 1295 nt
Organism: Bombus huntii
Lineage: Eukaryota; Metazoa; Arthropoda; Insecta; Hymenoptera; Apidae
Exons: 3
Source: RefSeq, a predicted model, not a curated record